ACACAUGCAAGUCGAACGGAACUUCUUUAAAGGAUUUCUUCGGAAUGAAUUUGAUUAAGUUUAGUGGCGGACGGGUGAGUAACGCGUGAGUAACCUGCCUCUAAGAGGGGAAUAACAUUCUGAAAAGAAUGCUAAUACCGCAUAACAUAUAUUUAUCGCAUGGUAGAUAUAUCAAAGAUUUAUCGCUUAGAGAUGGACUCGCGUCCGAUUAGUUAGUUGGUGAGGUAACGGCUCACCAAGACCGCGAUCGGUAGCCGGACUGAGAGGUUGAACGGCCACAUUGGGACUGAGACACGGCCCAGACUCCUACGGGAGGCAGCAGUGGGGGAUAUUGCGCAAUGGGGGAAACCCUGACGCAGCAACGCCGCGUGAAGGAUGAAGGUCUUCGGAUUGUAAACUUCUUUUAUUAAGGACGAAGAAAGUGACGGUACUUAAUGAAUAAGCUCCGGCUAACUACGUGCCAGCAGCCGCGGUAAUACGUAGGGAGCAAGCGUUGUCCGGAUUUACUGGGUGUAAAGGGUGCGUAGGCGGCUUUGCAAGUCAGAUGUGAAAUCUAUGGGCUCAACCCAUAGCCUGCAUUUGAAACUGCAGAGCUUGAGUGAAGUAGAGGCAGGCGGAAUUCCCCGUGUAGCGGUGAAAUGCGUAGAGAUGGGGAGGAACACCAGUGGCGAAGGCGGCCUGCUGGGCUUUAACUGACGCUGAGGCACGAAAGCGUGGGUAGCAAACAGGAUUAGAUACCCUGGUAGUCCACGCUGUAAACGAUGAUUACUAGGUGUGGGGGGUCUGACCCCUUCCGUGCCGGAGUUAACACAAUAAGUAAUCCACCUGGGGAGUACGGCCGCA
This 843-nucleotide ribosomal RNA is filed under the name uncultured bacterium. Its description in RNAcentral is "bacterial SSU rRNA". It matches the Rfam family "Bacterial small subunit ribosomal RNA", at positions 51 to 890 of the family's 1533-position model. The record is from RNAcentral.